CUUAUCGUUCACCCUAAGGAAACCCAGCGCCUAACGGUUUUCGUCACCCAGCUGACCUUCGAGUUCUUUCUUUUGUCCUACUCCAAACUCUUGUUUAACCUUCCACCCAACCCCUUCUCUCAGAUUUCGUACUAUUCUUGACCCCUCACUUCUCAGAACUUAAGUCUUACGGAUGAAGGGAAAAGAAGCUGUUUGAAGAAAGCUCUUAAAAGAAGAAAAAGCAAAAUUAAGAGACUUAUCAGAAGGAAAAGUGAAUGCAAGGUAAAAAAGAAACAAAGCACUAGCUCUCUUAAAAUAUUAUUCUUUGCUCCUAUACCCCA
Molecule: long non-coding RNA, 320 nt
Filed under: Sus scrofa (pig)
Lineage: Eukaryota; Metazoa; Chordata; Mammalia; Artiodactyla; Suidae
Description: lncRNA (ENSSSCG00055005899.1, ENSSSCG00065018706.1, ENSSSCG00070028362.1)
Source: RNAcentral